GGAGAGGUUUUAGCUCCUGAGAGACAAGAGGGGACCUGAAUGGGUCGCUGCGGAUUCCACUUGACAGAAGAAAUUUUAUACAGCAGAAUCAUGAGAAACUAUGACCUUUGGAGCUGGCCCCUGCCCUGUGGUCUCAGUCCAGGAUCCAGCACUCCCAGUGUCUCCAUCUGGGGCUGACAAUGGCACUCAAGCUCUUGGACCCUUGAUUUAGUGCUGUCCCCAGGUCCUUUGCUUUGCUGUACAAAUGUAUAGGUGUGUGUGGGGGGGGGGCAAUGCAAGUGGUUUAACUUCCUACUGACGUCUUUAGAAUAAAUAAUUACUCUCCUUAUAAACAUUCUUUUAAAAGAAGGUUUUUGAGGUCAAUUAUUAAGUUCUUCAACUCUGUUCUCUUCUAAGACAAAGAACACCAAUUAAAAUCAUAGAAAUGAUUCAAGAGUGUUAUCUAAAGUUGGUAAGUUAUUCAAGCUAUGAUGAUAGCAUUUAAAAAAUACUUUAAGUAAGAAGUUGUAUACCUGUAACCUCAGCACUUUGGGAGACUGAGGGAGGAGGUUUGCAAAUUCAAGACUAGCCUGGGCAACUUGGCAAUUUAGUGAGACCCUGUCACAAAAUAAAACCAGAACAAGAAAAA
Molecule: long non-coding RNA, 628 nt
Filed under: Heterocephalus glaber (naked mole-rat)
Lineage: Eukaryota; Metazoa; Chordata; Mammalia; Rodentia; Bathyergidae
Description: lncRNA (ENSHGLG00100045654.1)
Source: RNAcentral